This 274-nucleotide ribosomal RNA is filed under the name uncultured bacterium. RNAcentral's name for it is "partial 16S ribosomal RNA". It matches the Rfam family "Bacterial small subunit ribosomal RNA", at positions 523 to 796 of the family's 1533-position model. The record is from RNAcentral.
CUACGGAGGGUGCGAGCGUUAAUCGGAAUUACUGGGCGUAAAGCGUGCGUAGGCGGUUUGUUAAGUCAGAAGUGAAAGCCCUGGGCUCAACCUGGGAACGGCUUUUGAGACUGGCAGACUCGAGUUGAGUAGAGGGGAGUGGAAUUUCCGGUGUAGCGGUGAAAUGCGUAGAGAUCGGAAGGAACACCAGUGGCGAAGGCGACUCCCUGGACUCAAACUGACGCUGAGGUACGAAAGCGUGGGUAGCAAACAGGAUUAGAAACCCUAGUAGUCC